UAAAAUCAUUUUCACUUCACAAAAGUAAAAGUAGAUUUAAUUAAGUUCUUUUUUUUUUUUUUUUUUUUUUACUUUUCCGUUUUCUUAUUGACGAGUCUAAACGUAAUUGUUCAACCUUUCCAUUAGGGGGCGUGUAUUAUUUACACUGCCACGUGCUCUAGGUUACGCUACUAACUAGGCGUGAUACUGCGCAUGCGCUUGAUAAUAGGCGCUCGCUUCAACGGUCUAUUGUAAAGAAGAUGGCUUGCAAUACAAAAGGCAGGGAACAAAGGCUGAUGGACUCACUAAGUACAGCUGUACAGUGGUGCAAAGAAAACGAGCAUCGCUUUUUGCAAAAGGUCGACAUGCCUGCUGUCCUGUCAAUGCCAGCUGAAGAAGCAGCUAAUGCCAUCAAGGCGAUUUUAGAGAUGCAGAAAGGCAGUGAGGAAGAAAGAGAUGAAGCAAUCGCUCCUUUCUUGUUUUCCUUCCAUACAUUUGCUGAUAUGGACUUUUUUCUUACUGAAAUAGCAGAUAGAAGAAAACUCAUGGUGUUCACUUUUUUAAAACCAAACACUUGUGAAAGGGAAUAAUAAAAAAGAGAGAAUAAUAAGA
This is a long non-coding RNA of Tachysurus fulvidraco (yellow catfish), 591 nucleotides long. RefSeq lists it as uncharacterized. Lineage: Eukaryota; Metazoa; Chordata; Actinopteri; Siluriformes; Bagridae. The record is from RefSeq and is a predicted model, not a curated record. The transcript has 2 exons.